This 382-nucleotide unclassified non-coding RNA is filed under the name uncultured Pseudomonadota bacterium. RNAcentral describes it as "uncultured proteobacterium contains 16S-23S intergenic spacer region". Lineage: Bacteria; Pseudomonadati; Pseudomonadota. The record is from RNAcentral.
UCCGAGUUGACCCCGGGCAGUUCCGUCAGAGUGCCCAACUCAAUGCUGGCAACAGACGGUGAGGGUUGCGCUCGUUGCGGGACUUAACCCAACAUCUCACGACACGAGCUGACGACAGCCAUGCAGCACCUGUGUUCCCGCCAGCCGAACUGAAGAGCUCCGUCUCCGGUGCUCAUACGGGACAUGUCAAGGGCUGGUAAGGUUCUGCGCGUUGCUUCGAAUUAAACCACAUACUCCACCGCUUGUGCGGGCCCCCGUCAAUUCCUUUGAGUUUCAGUCUUGCGACCGUACUCCCCAGGCGGCGAACUUAACGCGUUAGCUUCGAUACUGCGUGCCAAAUUGCACCCAACAUCCAGUUCGCAUCGUUUAGGGCGUGGACUAC